UACGAAGGGGGCUAGCGUUGCUCGGAAUCACUGGGCGUAAAGCGCACGUAGGCGGCUUUCUAAGUCAGGGGUGAAAUCCUGGAGCUCAACUCCAGAACUGCCUUUGAUACUGGAGAGCUUGAGUCCGGGAGAGGUGAGUGGAACUCCGAGUGUAGAGGUGAAAUUCGUAGAUAUUCGGAAGAACACCAGUGGCUAAGGCGGCUCACUGGCCCGGUACUGACGCUGAGGUGCGAAAGCGUGGGGAGCAAACAGG
This 253-nucleotide ribosomal RNA is filed under the name uncultured bacterium. Its description in RNAcentral is "partial 16S ribosomal RNA". It matches the Rfam family "Bacterial small subunit ribosomal RNA", at positions 524 to 776 of the family's 1533-position model. The record is from RNAcentral.